UUAAGUUCAGCGGGUAGUCCUACCUGAUUUGAGGCCAGAGUUAAUGAAAAGUGGGUCAGAGAUGGAACUCUUCGCCGGGUUAGAAAGCUAGACUAUUCGUUUUCAAAACCAUUAACAACAGUAGAGUCAUUAGCCCAUCGACGUAAAUUUAUCACAUCAUAUGGAGACCCUUCCGAAAAGGUUCGAAAAGUCCAAGCUAA
RNAcentral lists this unclassified non-coding RNA (200 nucleotides) under Microstromatales sp. Its description in RNAcentral is "partial internal transcribed spacer 2". The record is from RNAcentral. Lineage: Eukaryota; Fungi; Basidiomycota; Exobasidiomycetes; Microstromatales.